RNAcentral lists this long non-coding RNA (461 nucleotides) under Dasypus novemcinctus (nine-banded armadillo). RNAcentral's name for it is "lncRNA (ENSDNOG00000050973.1)". The record is from RNAcentral. Lineage: Eukaryota; Metazoa; Chordata; Mammalia; Cingulata; Dasypodidae.
AAGAUAAUUAAACUUUAUCAAACUGGAUUGUCAACUUUCUUGGUUCUUCAUAGUUGUAUUUUUUUCUAUUCUUUUGAUUUGCAGGAAAGAAAGUCCACCAGCAUUUCUCCCUAAACCUGUGUUAGAAAUAAUAGCAGGUCUUAAUCAGGAGAUACAGCUCUGGGCUGAACACUUGGGACUGUGGAUGGAAUCUAGUGCGAGAUAUCUUCAGUCUGUUCUCCAGGCAUUAUGAAGACAUUACUGAGAAUUUCAAUCCCAUUUUAACUAUCAAAGAGGACACGUAACCAUGGUUUGUUGCUGAAAGUAUGUGAAAAAAUUCAUCUUUAGGGAGAAAUUCCCAUUCUUGAAAUGGUGAUGGAUAGUCCUUCUUCACUCAACACACAUGAACAGUGUAAGUGAGAAAUGGUUUUCUUUGACAGGUGGGUUAUCUGGUACAGACUCUGUAGAAAGAUAGCCCAGUU